CUCGUGUGUAAACACGGUGUAAGUAAGACUCCUGGAAGAACACCAGGUUGAUAGGUUAGAGGUGUAAGCAUGGUAACAUGUUCAGCUGACUAAUACUAAUAAGUCGAGGGCUUGACCUU
Molecule: ribosomal RNA, 119 nt
Filed under: Clostridium sp.
Lineage: Bacteria; Bacillati; Bacillota; Clostridia; Eubacteriales; Clostridiaceae
Description: partial 23S ribosomal RNA
Rfam family: Bacterial large subunit ribosomal RNA
Source: RNAcentral